GACGAACGCUGGCGGCGUGCUUAACACAUGCAAGUCGAACGGAAAGGCCCUGCUUUUGUGGGGUGCUCGAGUGGCGAACGGGUGAGUAACACGUGAGUAACCUGCCCUUGACUUUGGGAUAACUUCAGGAAACUGGGGCUAAUACCGGAUAGGAGCUCCUGCUGCAUGGUGGGGGUUGGAAAGUUUCGGCGGUUGGGGAUGGACUCGCGGCUUAUCAGCUUGUUGGUGGGGUAGUGGCUUACCAAGGCUUUGACGGGUAGCCGGCCUGAGAGGGUGACCGGCCACAUUGGGACUGAGAUACGGCCCAGACUCCUACGGGAGGCAGCAGUGGGGAAUAUUGCACAAUGGGCGGAAGCCUGAUGCAGCAACGCCGCGUGCGGGAUGACGGCCUUCGGGUUGUAAACCGCUUUCGCCUGUGACGAAGCGUGAGUGACGGUAAUGGGUAAAGAAGCACCGGCUAACUACGUGCCAGCAGCCGCGGUGAUACGUAGGGUGCGAGCGUUGUCCGGAUUUAUUGGGCGUAAAGGGCUCGUAGGUGGUUAAUCGCGUCGGAAGUGUAAUCUUGGGGCUUAACCCUGAGCGUGCUUUCGAUACGGGUUGACUUGAGGAAGGUAGGGGAGAAUGGAAUUCCUGGUGGAGCGGUGGAAUGCGCAGAUAUCAGGAGGAACACCAGUGGCGAAGGCGGUUCUCUGGGCCUUUCCUGACGCUGAGGAGCGAAAGCGUGGGGAGCGAACAGGCUUAGAUACCCUGGUAGUCCACGCUGUAAACGGUGGGUACUAGGUGUGGGGUCCAUUCCACGGGUUCCGUGCCGUAGCUAACGCUUUAAGUACCCCGCCUGGGGAGUACGGCCGCAAGGCUAAAACUCAAAGGAAUUGACGGGGCCCCGCACAAGCGGCGGAGCAUGCGGAUUAAUUCGAUGCAACGCGUAGAACCUUACCUGGGUUUGACAUGGAUCGGGAGUGCUCAGAGAUGGGUGUGCCUCUUUUGGGGUCGGUUCACAGGUGGUGCAUGGCUGUCGUCAGCUCGUGUCGUGAGAUGUUGGGUUAAGUCCCGCAACGAGCGCAACCCUUGUUCACUGUUGCCAGCACGUUAUGGUGGGGACUCAGUGGAGACCGCCGGGGUCAACUCGGAGGAAGGUGGGGAUGACGUCAAGUCAUCAUGCCCCUUAUGUCCAGGGCUUCACGCAUGCUGCAAUGGCUGGUACAGAGAGUGGCGAGCCUGUGAGGGUGAGCGAAUCUCGGAAAGCCGGUCUCAGUUCGGAUUGGGGUCUGCAACUCGACCUCAUGAAGUCGGAGUCGCUAGUAAUCGCAGAUCAGCAACGCUGCGGUGAAUACGUUCCCGGGGCUUGUACACACCGCCCGUCAAGUCAUGAAAGUUGGUAACACCCGAAGCCGGUGGCCUAACCGUUGUGGGGGAGCCGUCGAGGGUGGGACUGGUGAUUAGGACU
Molecule: ribosomal RNA, 1447 nt
Filed under: uncultured bacterium
Lineage: Bacteria
Description: partial 16S rRNA
Rfam family: Bacterial small subunit ribosomal RNA
Source: RNAcentral